CCCCCCCCGCCUCUAGCUUGUGCUGGAAGAGAAGCCGCCAGGAUGACCAAAGCACCUUUCUCUGUAGAGUGGCUUUCCCAGAGCAGCCAGGCCACCUCCGAGCGGCCGCAAAGGGCAGAAGGCGCUCGAGGCAGCUCGCGUGGGUUCUUCUCCCCGCUCGGAAACCCAGCCUGCAGCUCCAGCCCAGCCCCCCAACCGCUCCAACCCGCCGGGCGUGCAAGCCAAAGAGGGCAGAGGGGUGAAGCUAUAAAGAGCCUAGACAACGGCCCUAAGGGUGAGACGCUUUUGGACCCGUCCUCAGUCAGAGCAGCGCCAGCCGCAGCCCAGCGGGCGUGGAGCGCCGCGGAGUCCGGGUCCGAGUGGGAGAGCGGCCGCUCCGAGUGCCAGUCCCCCGAGGCGCCCAGCGGCAAGGGCAGCCGGCGCCUGCGCACCGCCUUCAGCGUGGAGCAGAUCAGCACCCUGGAGAGCUCCUUCAAGCGCCACAAGUACCUGGGCUCGGCCGAGCGCCGCAAGCUGGCCGCCAAGAUGCAGCUGUCCGAAGUGCAGAUCAAGACCUGGUUCCAGAACCGGCGCAUGAAGCUGAAGUGGCAGCUGCAGGAGAUGAGGCUGGAGCCCUUCUACAGCCCCGUGCCCUUGGGAGCCCGGCCACGGGCCCCUGCCCCUGCACUACCUCUGCCCGCAGCUCCUGGCUCACCUCCCGGGGCAGGAGGAGGCCCCUGCCAGCUUCACCUUCCCAGCACUGCCCGCCAGCGCCUGCAGGAGGGAGCCAGGAGGCUAUUGGCAGGCGCCCUGCUUUGUGGGCUACACAAACCCCAGGACUUUCCUGCUGCCCAUUUGAACCCGCGGGGCUAGUCUGUGACUCAAGGAUUUGCACUAACGCUGGCACUCAGGGGCGGGGCCGCCGAGGCCUGUAACUGCUGCUGUGUUUUGUCAUGCAAUCCCCUAAUGCACAGCGAGACUGUUGUAGAGACACAUGGGGCAUGGGGGACCGAGUAUUCAUAUGUUCUGGAGCAGUCCAAUAAAAACAAACACUGACCAGCUCUCACUUUUUACUUUCUCGCAUCAGUCCUGGGGAGCCCUUACUUGCCACAACCAGGAACACAGCCUACCUCCAUCCCUCCUUCCUGAACUAACCUGACCCACACCCUUCUCUUCCAUAGGCCCAGGAUAGGCUCCUAUAGAUUUGCAGUUCAAGCUUGUGUGGCUCUGCUUGGAGAAUACAUUUUAAGGAACAUUCUUUUGGAAAGGGGUUGAGAGUUUUAAAAAUAAGAACCAGGAGUAACAAUAUCCUGCCAGCAGAGUGUUGCCUGCAAUGUGCACAUGGUGGGUAAAAUCCUGUGCUCAUGGCAAAUGUCCCAUUGACUUUGAUGGACUUGGUUUUCAAACUGUUGAGAUUUAGUGCUGCUGCCUGACCCUUAUUACAGGGGCUCCCUGCUCUGCUUAAGACUUAUGGACACCCCAUCCUGAUCCAAUUUAAAUUGGAGGAGUGAAAUUCUGGCUCUAUUGAAGUCAAUGGCAAAACUCCUGAGUGACUUCAGUGGGGCCAAGAUUUCACCAUAGAAGGCUUGAUACAGAGUCAAACAGGAGACCCUGUUGUCUUCAGCUACUCCCUGGGUGGCUCUGCUUCUAUUUUAUUUAAUCUGACAGCACUGAUAUAUACUGACACCAAGAGAAAAUGAUUUUUUUUUCAGAUUUAUUUAUGCAUCUACAACAAGGCAUUACUAUUUGGAAAUCAGUUAACAUAGAAAAGUAAUUAAGAGAGCCAUGCAAAACAAGGCCCUACAAUACUUAUUCACAUCAGUAAGAUUACAUGUAUUUUUGUGCUUGCUAGCCAAUUACUGGAAAUACCUUUUAAAAGACCUACAAAUAGGCAUUUUUUAAAGUAGAGAAUUGUAACACCUCUUCCCCUGAAAACACCUCCCCCCAACCCUUUUUAGAUUACUUUACAACCAAGUACCAUGAAAGGUCAGGCUUAUGAUUGUUUUUGUUUUAAUAAAUUAACAUGAAAGAAUCCCUACCUCAAGUAUCUGUAAAUGUCAAUGCUAAAAAUACUGGUGCUCUUAAAUGGUGGGAAGCUUUCUGAAAAAUAACACCAUACUCAUCUGAAUUCAUCCCACUCAGACUAAUCCAGAUGUACUUUUCUAUUUCCUGGAGUCAUUGAUCCAGUCUUGCAACUUCUUUGUUAGCUUACACUCACACUCCCAUCAUUCCAGGGUCCCACUCUAAUAUCUGGAACCUUCACAGUAUCACUCCAGUGUAAAGUUGCCUACAAUAAAAUCCAAAGAUAAAGCUAGUCUGGCUCAUAUUUU
Molecule: non-coding RNA, 2309 nt
Organism: Pelodiscus sinensis (Chinese soft-shelled turtle)
Lineage: Eukaryota; Metazoa; Chordata; Testudines; Trionychidae
Source: RefSeq, a predicted model, not a curated record